This 28-nucleotide non-coding RNA is filed under the name Homo sapiens (human). The record is from RNAcentral. Lineage: Eukaryota; Metazoa; Chordata; Mammalia; Primates; Hominidae.
UAGAAGGGUGCGCCCUUACAGAUGGAAC